This is a long non-coding RNA of Gavialis gangeticus (Gharial), 434 nucleotides long. RefSeq lists it as uncharacterized. The record is from RefSeq and is a predicted model, not a curated record. The transcript is spliced from 3 exons. Lineage: Eukaryota; Metazoa; Chordata; Crocodylia; Gavialidae.
CCCCCACUUAAAAGCUAAGUCACGUGCAAAUGGCAAAAGGAGUUUAGCUAUAUUCUGCCCAAUCCUGCAAGAUAAACUUCCUCUCACAAUCAAGCACACCUGCUCUGCAUAUAAUCAAAUUCAGGGUCAUCUUCGAUUCGAGUACAUAUGGUAAUAUUGGCCCUUACUUGCACCUACAUCAAUACUUAACACCUUGAGGUGUAGAACAAGUAAUAAUUAAGUUGAUUUGCAUUACAGGCUAGACAGAAUGAGAAAAGGCAAAUUAAACUGUUAGCUAGAAUUGCCAGGUAGAAACCCAAGUAUUUUCCAGGAUUCCUUUUUCUAACCUUAGACAGUAUAUUCAGUGAGACUCCACUGACAAUAGAAAGAUCCAUUUGGCCUCAUUUGUUAAGAUGCAGAACUAAAGUCACAGAAAUACUUCUACAAGUAAAAGA